Molecule: long non-coding RNA, 334 nt
Filed under: Physcomitrium patens
Lineage: Eukaryota; Viridiplantae; Streptophyta; Bryopsida; Funariales; Funariaceae
Description: long non-coding RNA (PPAT_LNC005566)
Source: RNAcentral
CAAAGAAAGAAUAAGAAAUCUUAAAAAAAUAUUAGAAUGAUCACAAAUAUCUCUCAAAUACAUCUCAAUUCAAUCUUAAUUUAAUCCUAGUUAAAAUCCUAUUACACUUCAUUCAAACUUUAGCCCAAAACUAAUUAAAUCUUAAAUUCUAAAUAAAUCCUAAUAAAAUAUUAAACCCUAAAUAAAAUCCUAAAUCCUAAAUCAAAUCCUAAUCAAAUCCUAAAUCCAAAACUAAAUCCUAAACAAAUCUUAAACCAAAUUCCAACCAAACCUUAAACCAAACCCUAAAUCCUAAACCAAAUCCUAAUCAAAUCCUAAUAAAAUCCUAAAUCCU